RNAcentral lists this long non-coding RNA (339 nucleotides) under Mustela putorius furo (domestic ferret). RNAcentral describes it as "lncRNA (ENSMPUG00000026675.1)". Lineage: Eukaryota; Metazoa; Chordata; Mammalia; Carnivora; Mustelidae. The record is from RNAcentral.
CAGGAAUAUAAAAGAAUUCCCCAAAUGACUCUGGCCCUGUUUUGCCUUUGCCCUUUACUUUCUAGGUUUCUUUUGGAUGCCUGGAGAUUUGGAUAAAGGUUCCUGGACCGUGUUGAAUCCAUACCCAGCAUGGAGCCCAGUGUGGGGCUUGAACUACAACCAUGAGAUCAAGACCUGAGCCAACAUCAAGAGUUGGACGCUAAGGGGCACCUGGGUGGUUGAGUGAGUUAAAGCCUCUGCAUGCUCAGGUCAUGAUCCCAGGGUCCUGGGAUGGAGCCCCCCAUAGGGCUCUCUGCUCAGCAGGGAGCUUUCUUCCCUUCCUCUCUCUCUGCCUGCCUC